GUCACCCCAAGUCUGCUGGGGAGACGUCGUGGGAACGGUGGUGAGGGGCAGUGGAGUGACUGUGGGGCGAAGGGAACGCAGGAGGGCAUGGAGCCUCGGACCGCUCUCGGGCCAUCUCCAUGCCCUCAUCGAUAACAGGCCGUGAAAACCAGCAGACGGGCAGUCUCAGGAGCCAUGAGGUGAAGGCAGACGCAGGGUGCCAGGUGCACAGGAAACCGUGGCAGAGAUGAGCACACAAACCUACUCAGCCUGGUAAUCUUAACAUGAAAUCAAAACCUCUGCAGAAUCUGGAAAGGAAAUCAGAGGUGUGAGACAGUGAUGCCGCAAUCCUGUGCCUCUGCCUGCAGACAUUUGGGGCUUGACUUCUGAAUUUAUAGUAAAUUGGGUAAAUUGAGAA
Oenanthe melanoleuca is the source of this 397-nucleotide long non-coding RNA. RefSeq lists it as uncharacterized. The transcript has 2 exons. Lineage: Eukaryota; Metazoa; Chordata; Aves; Passeriformes; Muscicapidae. The record is from RefSeq and is a predicted model, not a curated record.